RNAcentral lists this ribosomal RNA (515 nucleotides) under uncultured bacterium. RNAcentral's name for it is "partial 16S ribosomal RNA". It matches the Rfam family "Bacterial small subunit ribosomal RNA", at positions 28 to 523 of the family's 1533-position model. The record is from RNAcentral.
GAUGAACGCUGGCGGCGUGCCUAAUACAUGCAAGUCGAGCGAAUGGAUUAAGAGCUUGCUCUUAUGAAGUUAGCGGCGGACGGGUGAGUAACACGUGGGUAACCUGCCCAUAAGACUGGGAUAACUCCGGGAAACCGGGGCUAAUACCGGAUAACAUUUUGAACCGCAUGGUUCGAAAUUGAAAGGCGGCUUCGGCUGUCACUUAUGGAUGGACCCGCGUCGCAUUAGCUAGUUGGUGAGGUAACGGCUCACCAAGGCAACGAUGCGUAGCCGACCUGAGAGGGUGAUCGGCUACACUUGGGCUGAGACACGGCCCAGAAUCCUACGGGAGGCAGCAGUAGGGAAUCUUCCGCAAUGGACGAAAGUCUGACGUAGCAACGCCGCGUGAGUGAUGGAGGCUUUCGGGUCGUAAAACUCUGUUGUUAGGGAAGAACAAGUGCUAGUUGAAUAAGCUGGCACCUUGACGGUACCUAACCAGAAAGCCACGGCUAACUACGUGCCAGCCGCCGCAGUAA